This 502-nucleotide ribosomal RNA is filed under the name uncultured bacterium. RNAcentral describes it as "bacterial SSU rRNA". It matches the Rfam family "Bacterial small subunit ribosomal RNA", at positions 8 to 507 of the family's 1533-position model. The record is from RNAcentral.
AGAGUUUGAUCCUGGCUCAGAUUGAACGCUGGCGGCAUGCCUUACACAUGCAAGUCGAACGGUAACGGGCCUUCGGGUGCCGACGAGUGGCGAACGGGUGAGUAAUGCAUCGGAACGUACCUUCAGUGGGGGAUAACGUAGCGAAAGUUACGCUAAUACCGCAUAUUCUGUGAGCAGGAAAGCAGGGGAUCGCAAGACCUUGCGCUGAUUGAGCGGCCGAUGUCGGAUUAGCUAGUUAGUGAGGUAAAGGCUCACCAAGGCGACGAUCUGUAGCGGGGUCUGAGAGGAUGAUCCGCCACACUGGAACUGAGACACGGUCCAGACUCCUACGGGAGGCAGCAGUGGGGAAUUUUGGACAAUGGGGGCAACCCUGAUCCAGCCAUGCCGCGUGAGUGAAGAAGGCCUUCGGGUUGUAAAGCUCUUUCGGCCGGGAAGAAAUCGCAUGGGUUAAUACCCUGUGCGGAUGACGGUACCGGCAUAAGAAGCACCGGCUAACUACGUG